This 541-nucleotide ribosomal RNA is filed under the name Exiguobacterium sp. AM39-5BH. Its description in RNAcentral is "partial 23S ribosomal RNA". It matches the Rfam family "Bacterial large subunit ribosomal RNA", at positions 926 to 1471 of the family's 2925-position model. The record is from RNAcentral. Lineage: Bacteria; Bacillati; Bacillota; Bacilli; Caryophanales.
CCCCACAGGGUUACCGAAUUCAGUCAAACUCCGAAUGCCGGCAACUUGUACUCGGGAGUCAGACUGCGAGUGAUAAGAUCCGUAGUCGAAAGGGAAACAGCCCAGACCAUCAGCUAAGGUCCCCAAGUGUAUGUUAAGUGGAAAAGGAUGUGGCGUUGCACAGACAACUAGGAUGUUGGCUUAGAAGCAGCCAUCAUUCAAAGAGUGCGUAAUAGCUCACUAGUCGAGUGACGCCGCGCCGAAAAUGUAACGGGGCUAAACAUACCACCGAAGCUAUGGAUCCCGUGAGGGAUGGUAGGGGAGCGUUCCAAGCAGCAGUGAAGCGGUAUCGUGAGGAGCCGUGGAGCGCUUGGAAGUGAGAAUGCCGGUGUGAGUAGCGAAAAGAGGGGUGAGAAUCCCCUCCGUCGAAAGCCCAAGGUUUCCUGAGGAAGGCUCGUCCGCUCAGGGUUAGUCUGGACCUAAGCCGAGGCCGAAAGGCGUAGGCGAUGGACAACAGGUUGAUAUUCCUGUACCGCCGUACCACCGUUUGAACGAUGGGGGG